AUGGCUGCCGGAGGAGGAGUGGUGCUCAACCUGCGCGUCCCGUCGGCGUCAGUGACGCCGGCGCGGCGGUGUGGGACGGCGUCGUCGUCGUCGGUGAGAUGCGGGGGCGCGCGCGGGGCGGCGCCGGCGAGGCAUACGGGCGGGGCGCUGGAGGAUGACCACUACCGGAUGCUGAGGCUGGCGCCGGGGGCCACCAGGGGCGAUGUCAAGAGGGCCUUCCACCGCCUCGCGCUGCAGCACCACCCGGACGUCGUGCGCCGGGGCGGCGGGGACGGCCAGCAAGACGACGCCAUCGACUUCCAGCGGAUCAACGCGGCGUACCAGACGUUGAUGAGCAACAUGCGGGAGGCGGAGGCGACGCUCGAGUACUGGCGCCGCCGCUACGGCCUCGCCGACGAGGACCUCGACCGCUACCGCCACUACCUCAACGACGAGGACGCGGACGACUGGUUCGCCGACUUCUGA
This 465-nucleotide ribosomal RNA is filed under the name Triticum aestivum (bread wheat). Its description in RNAcentral is "partial small subunit ribosomal RNA". Lineage: Eukaryota; Viridiplantae; Streptophyta; Magnoliopsida; Poales; Poaceae. The record is from RNAcentral.